RNAcentral lists this small RNA (110 nucleotides) under Paenibacillus selenitireducens. Its description in RNAcentral is "Guanidine-I sequence". It matches the Rfam family "Guanidine-I riboswitch aptamer". Rfam says of the family: This family represents a conserved RNA structure found upstream of the ykkC and yxkD genes in Bacillus subtilis and related genes in other bacteria. The function of this family is unclear although it has been suggested that it may function to switch on efflux pumps and detoxification systems in response to harmful environmental molecules. Nelson showed that this riboswitch senses and responds to guanidine and it was renamed Guanidine-I riboswitch. The record is from Rfam by way of RNAcentral. Lineage: Bacteria; Bacillati; Bacillota; Bacilli; Caryophanales; Paenibacillaceae.
UGUGAAGUUCCCUAGGGUUCCGUAAUCGCAUGCCGUGAUUAGUCUGGUCCGAGGGGGAACGAAUGGUUCUAUGAACCAUUGAGACACGGAGGGACAAAAGCCCGGGAGAU